GGUUAAGCGACUAAGCGUACACGGUGGAUGCCCUGGCAGUCAGAGGCGAUGAAGGACGUGCUAAUCUGCGAUAAGCGCCGGUAAGGUGAUAUGAACCGUUAUAACCGGCGAUUUCCGAAUGGGGAAACCCAGUGUGAUUCGUCACACUAUCAUUAACUGAAUCCAUAGGUUAAUGAGGCGAACCGGGGGAACUGAAACAUCUAAGUACCCCGAGGAAAAGAAAUCAACCGAGAUUCCCCCAGUAGCGGCGAGCGAACGGGGAGGAGCCCAGAGCCUGAAUCAGCAUGUGUGUUAGUGGAAGCGUCUGGAAAGGCGCGCGAUACAGGGUGACAGCCCCGUACACAAAAGCGCAUGUGCUGUGAGCUCGAUGAGUAGGGCGGGACACGUGGUAUCCUGUCUGAAUAUGGGGGGACCAUCCUCCAAGGCUAAAUACUCCUGACUGACCGAUAGUGAACCAGUACCGUGAGGGAAAGGCGAAAAGAACCCCGGCGAGGGGAGUGAAAAAGAACCUGAAACCGUGUACGUACAAGCAGUGGGAGCACAGGUUUACCUGUGUGACUGCGUACCUUUUGUAUAAUGGGUCAGCGACUUAUAUUCUGUAGCAAGGUUAACCGUAUAGGGGAGCCGGAGGGAAACCGAGUCUUAAUUGGGCGUUAAGUUGCAGGGUAUAGACCCGAAACCCGGUGAUCUAGCCAUGGGCAGGUUGAAGGUUGGGUAACACUAACUGGAGGACCGAACCGACUAAUGUUGAAAAAUUAGCGGAUGACCUGUGGCU
RNAcentral lists this ribosomal RNA (775 nucleotides) under Salmonella enterica subsp. enterica. RNAcentral describes it as "partial 23S ribosomal RNA". It matches the Rfam family "Bacterial large subunit ribosomal RNA", at positions 1 to 816 of the family's 2925-position model. Lineage: Bacteria; Pseudomonadati; Pseudomonadota; Gammaproteobacteria; Enterobacterales; Enterobacteriaceae. The record is from RNAcentral.